This 264-nucleotide long non-coding RNA is filed under the name Mus caroli (Ryukyu mouse). RNAcentral's name for it is "lncRNA (MGP_CAROLIEiJ_G0004785.1)". The record is from RNAcentral. Lineage: Eukaryota; Metazoa; Chordata; Mammalia; Rodentia; Muridae.
ACUUUGGAUCCAGCUCUUCUCAGCUCUGCAGCAUCAGGCUCCCCAAAAGACCUUCAUGGCUCCCCCAAAGCACGGUGCUUCCUGACCCCUGAUACUUGGGGAGACAACACAGCCGCUCUCUCGAAUGCUGUGAGGAUAUGGGGUGGGGCAGGAUGUGUGGGGCCUUGGUCCUGCACCGCAGGCAGACUGGGGGUUCCAGAAGGGAGACGGAUGGGUGGGUAAGGGUUACAGGGCCCUCAACACUAAUAAAGAAUGGACUGGUUU